UACGUAGGGGGCCAGCGUUGCUCGGAAUUACUGGGCGUAAAGGGUUCGUAGGUGGUGCGGCAAGUUGGAAGUGAAAUCUCUGGGCUUAACCCAGAGGCUGCUUUCAAAACUGCCGCGCUCGAGUGCGAGAGAGGUCAGUGGAAUUGCAGGUGUAGCGGUGAAAUGCGUAGAUAUCUGGAGGAACACCGGUGGCGAAGGCGACAUCCUGGACCAAUACUGACGCUGA
Molecule: ribosomal RNA, 226 nt
Filed under: uncultured prokaryote
Description: partial 16S ribosomal RNA
Rfam family: Bacterial small subunit ribosomal RNA
Source: RNAcentral